This 34-nucleotide ribosomal RNA is filed under the name Eucalyptus baileyana. Its description in RNAcentral is "partial 5.8S ribosomal RNA". RNAcentral also lists the same sequence under 14 other names. The record is from RNAcentral. Lineage: Eukaryota; Viridiplantae; Streptophyta; Magnoliopsida; Myrtales; Myrtaceae.
UAACGACUCUCGGCAACGGAUAUCUCGGCUCUCG